Molecule: ribosomal RNA, 792 nt
Filed under: uncultured Bacteroidota bacterium
Lineage: Bacteria; Pseudomonadati; Bacteroidota
Description: bacterial SSU rRNA
Rfam family: Bacterial small subunit ribosomal RNA
Source: RNAcentral
GAGUUUGAUCCUGGCUCAGAUUGAACGCUGGCGGCGGGCUUAACACAUGCAAGUCGAGGGGUGAAAAAUCGGUUUCGGCCGUAACACGACCGGCGAACGGGUGAGUAACGCGUAUGGAAUCUACCCUUAUCAGGAGGAUAGCCCGAAGAAAUUCGGAUUAAUACUCCAUAACACUUCGAUACUCCUGUAAAGAAGUUAAAAGUUUCGACGGAUAAGGAUGAUCAUGCGUCACAUUAGCUAGUUGGUAAGGUAAGGGCUUACCAAGGCGAUGAUCUGUAGGGGCCCUGAGAGGGAGACCCCCCACACUGGUACUGAGACACGGACCAGACUUCUACGGGAGGCAGCAGUGAGGAAUAUUGCGCACUGGGCGAAAGCCUGACGCAGCCCACGUCGCGGUGUAGGAAGACAGCCUUAUGGGUCGUAAACUACUUUUGUAUGGAAAGAAACCUUCUUACGUGUAAGAAGCUGACGGUACCAUACGAAUAAGCAUCGGCUAACUCCGUGCCAGCAGCCGCGGUAAUACGGAGGAUGCAAGCGUUAUUCGGAAUUAUUGGGCGUAAAGGGCGUGUAGGCGGCUUGAUAAGCCAAAGGUGAAAUCCCUCAGCUCAACUGAGGAACUGCCUUUGGAACUGUCUGGCUAGAGGCCAGGAGAGGGUAGCGGAAUUCCCAGUGUAGCGGUGAAAUGCGUAGAUAUUGGGAGGAACACCAGUGGCGAAGGCGGCUACCUGGACUGGUACUGACGCUGAGGCGCGAAAGCGUGGGGAGCAAACAGGAUUAGAUACCCUGGUAGUC